GGGUGUGAGGACAAUCCAGCUGUGACAUCUGUUAACCCAUUGAUUGCCAGAGCUGAUUCAGCUGAUUUGGCUGCCUAGGUGGGUGCCCCCUUACUCGCUCACCACUUCUUGUAUGUCCUCCCCACUGUGUGCUCAAUUGAAAAGGAUGACCUUCUCCAAUAGUGGAGGACUGUUCUUCAGUCAAGGGUAUAUUAGUAGCUGCAUUGCCCUCCUAGAACCUCCAAACAAGCUCUCAAAGGCACUUUUUAAAGUAGUUAUGAUGCUUAUGUACAAUAUCAUUAUUGGGAAAAACUAGGUGA
Unclassified non-coding RNA from Spermophilus dauricus (Daurian ground squirrel), 299 nucleotides. Its record names the gene 7SK. It matches the Rfam family "7SK RNA". From Rfam's summary of the family: 7SK was discovered as an abundant small nuclear RNA in the mid-70s but a possible function has only recently been suggested. Two independent studies have found that 7SK RNA binds the CDK9/cyclin T complex (known as elongation factor P-TEFb). The record is from Ensembl. NCBI's taxonomy places the organism in Eukaryota, Metazoa, Chordata, Mammalia, Rodentia, Sciuridae.